UCAUUUAAAAAAGCCUUAGAUGAGAUGAGAUUUUUGCUUUCGAAUAAUCUAUGAGUGAGAGGUCGACGAUGAUGCUCCUUGAUUCUCCGAUUGAUUUGAAUUGUUCAAGAACUGACCAGUUGCGCCGAUGUAUAAUCUGGAUCUCAUUGGCCACUUCUGUGAAAACAAAACGGGGAAAAUAUAAAUUAGUGCGGCUAAUGCUAUGGUUCAAACGUGCACAUUAGGGCUAGGCCUAGCCUGUUAAAAAUCUCGUUUUUAAGCCUAUUUAUUGUGAUGUGUAGACCGCAUAGCAUCUGCAAAAAUGAGAUGACUCAACAUUUUCUUAUCAAUUUUAUGUGUCUGUAGGCAAUUCAUAUGUUAAGAAAAAAUGUUAAAUCACGUAGCCUAUUAUACAAUUCGUUACAAUCAUCACUAUUCAAUAAUAUUAUGCUUAAUUAAGACAAUUCAUCGGCCUAAGUCAAAAGCCAAACGGUAGAAAGAAGUGUUCGGGUGAGAUGGGCAAUGUAUGUGGUAGCCAAAAUCAACACAUCGAGUUUAGAUAGUUUGGUAUCCGGUGGCACCGAUGGAAGAGUCCUCUGUAGUUCCAGGAAGGCAUGUCUCAGGGUUUGCACUCUACUCCUUUCCCGGGCAGCAUUGGCUGCUGCCGGGCGGCCUUUCCCACCACCAAGCCCACCGGCCUGGACCACCCUGGAACGUAGUGCCUCCGGACGACUGGGACUGGAGCUGGGGCUAGAUGUGGGACUCUCAUCCAUAUCUGUCACUGGGACAUUUCCACUAUCCAUGCGGCUCGUCUGUCUUCCAACCAUUGAGAGUACUUACAAACCUGAACGAAGAGUUUCAAGGGAGCAGGUCAGAUUCUGAUGUGCAGAGGCAGCAGUGGCAGUCUCCAGGCCAUGUGUGUCAAGUCCAUGGGUCAGACAUGAAGAAGUUGUCUGUGUGUAUAUGAGUGUGUUUAGUAAAGCUGGCAAGUCAAGUGGCUGCAGAGUCGGCCAUGUCACCAAGUAGUGCUGCGCUCACAGGGACCGUUAUGCUGUGCGCACUACCAAGGAAGAAGGAGAUGGUUAUCAAUGGGCUUCAAGGAGCGAGUAAUGCCUAAUAAUCUUUUUCCUUACAUAAUACAUACAGUCUUAUGAGCAUUUAUUUUUCACAUUUGGUAAGGAUGUUAUUGUGUAAAUAUUAAGUAUGAAACUCGUGUGGAACAUUUUCCAUUCAAUCUUGUUAUUGUAAUACAGUUACAGUUUAUUUACAUAAAGCCAGGCCCUCAUAGAGGAGAAAAUCUGUUUAUUUAAGUAAGAGAAUUUGACCAUCUAGGCCUUUUGUCCAACACAAAGCAUAAGAAAGGAAACAAAGAAUAUCAUUUGAAUCUUGU
Long non-coding RNA from Osmerus eperlanus (European smelt), 1369 nucleotides. RefSeq lists it as uncharacterized. The record is from RefSeq and is a predicted model, not a curated record. The transcript has 3 exons. Lineage: Eukaryota; Metazoa; Chordata; Actinopteri; Osmeriformes; Osmeridae.